This 636-nucleotide ribosomal RNA is filed under the name uncultured fungus. Its description in RNAcentral is "eukaryotic LSU rRNA". The stretch from base 240 to 393 matches the Rfam family "5.8S ribosomal RNA". Lineage: Eukaryota; Fungi. The record is from RNAcentral.
CUUGGUCAUUUAGAGGAAGUAAAAGUCGUAACAAGGUUUCCGUAGGUGAACCUGCGGAAGGAUCAUUAAUGUGUUUGAGCUUCGGCUCUUCAUCCAGACGCUGUGCGCCUUCGGGCUGCACGCCGACGGAGCAUAUAUCCACCCCUGUGCACACACACGGUGGCGAGCUGGAUAACGGCUCGCCGCUGAUUUUUACACACGUCUAAAAGUCUUGUAUGUUUUAUUGAGAUACAAAAAACAACUUUCAGCAACGGAUCUCUUGGCUCUCGCAUCGAUGAAGAACGCAGCGAAAUGCGAUAAGUAAUGUGAAUUGCAGAAUUCAGUGAAUCAUCGAAUCUUUGAGCGCACCUUGCGCCACGUGGUAUUCCACGGGGCACGCCUGUUUGAGUGUCACGUAAACCCAUCGCGUCUCGGAUUGUCAUGAUCUGAGGGGCGGAUUUGGACGCUGCCGUAGUGGCUCGUCUCGAAAUGCAUUAGCCAGUCCGAGGACGCGCGCCGUUGGUGUGAUAAUUCACUUUGCGCCGCUGGUCGUGUCUGACGAAGGCUCAUAGUCGCCUGCAAGGGCAACCUUUAAUGCUCUGGCCUCAAAUCAGGUGGGACUACCCGCUGAACUUAAGCAUAUCAAUAAGCGGAGGA